GGCCCAAAUCCUACGGGAGGCUGCAGUAGGAAUCUUCCACAAUGGGCGAAAGCCUGAUGGAGCAACGCCGCGUGUGUGAUGAAGGCUUUCGGGUCGUAAAGCACUGUUGUAUGGGAAGAAAAGUUAAGGUAGGGAAUGACCUUAGCCUGACGGUACCAUACCAGAAAGGGACGGCUAAAUACGUGCCAGCAGCCGCGGUAAUACGUAUGUCCCGAGCGUUAUCCGGAUUUAUUGGGCGUAAAGCGAGCGCAGACGGUUGGUUAAGUCUGAUGUGAAAGCCCGGAGCUCAACUCCGGAAAGGCAUUGGAAACUGGUUAACUUGAGUGCAGUAGAGGUAAGUGGAACUCCAUGUGUAGCGGUGGAAUGCGUAGAUAUAUGGAAGAACACCAGCGGCGAAGGCGGCUUACUGGACUGUAACUGACGUUGAGGCUCGAAAGUGUGGGUAGCAAACAGGAUUAGAUACCCUGGUAGUCCACACCGUAAACGAUGAACACUAGGUGUUAGGAGGUUUCCGCCUCUUAGUGCCGAAGCUAACGCAUUAAGUGUUCCGCCUGGGGAGUACGACCGCAAGGUUGAAACUCAAAGGAAUUGACGGGGACCCGCACAAGCGGUGGAGCAUGUGGUUUAAUUCGAAGCAACGCGAAGAACCUUACCAGGUCUUGACAUCCUUUGAAGCUUUUAGAAAUAGAAGUGUUCUCUUCGGAGACAAAGUGACAGGUGGUGCAUGGUCGUCGUCAGCUCGUGUCGUGAGAUGUUGGGUUAAGUCCCGCAACGAGCGCAACCCUUAUUGUUAGUUGCCAGCAUUCAGAUGGGCACUCUAGCGAGACUGCCGGUGACAAACCGGAGGAAGGCGGGGACGACGUCAGAUCAUCAUGCCCCUUAUGACCUGGGCUACACACGUGCUACAAUGGCGUAUACAACGAGUUGCCAACCUGCGAAGGUGAGCUAAUCUCUUAAAGUACGUCUCAGUUCGGACUGCAGUCUGCAACUCGACUGCACGAAGUCGGAAUCGCUAGUAAUCGCGGAUCAGCACGCCGCGGUGAAUACGUUCCCGGGUCUUGUACACACCGCCCGUCACACCAUGGAAGUUUGUAAUGCCCAAAGCCGGUGGCCUAACCGUAAGGAGGGAACCGUCUAAGGCAGA
RNAcentral lists this ribosomal RNA (1144 nucleotides) under Leuconostoc carnosum. Its description in RNAcentral is "bacterial SSU rRNA". It matches the Rfam family "Bacterial small subunit ribosomal RNA", at positions 329 to 1466 of the family's 1533-position model. The record is from RNAcentral. Lineage: Bacteria; Bacillati; Bacillota; Bacilli; Lactobacillales; Lactobacillaceae.